UCGUAUCUCUGGACCUGGCGUUUGAAGCGACCCAGUCGCGGCCUUCUCGGCUGCGCGGGACGUCGAGCGCCGGCCCAACCUUCACAAACCCACUGUGCACCUUUGCGGCGGAGGGCCUCGGGCGAGAGCUCGGGUCCGAUGCCGAUCACAAACCCUAGUUCAAACAGAAUGAUCAGCGGCCGUUGCGCCGUCUAAAACACAAAA
RNAcentral lists this unclassified non-coding RNA (204 nucleotides) under uncultured fungus. RNAcentral describes it as "sequence contains ITS1". The record is from RNAcentral. Lineage: Eukaryota; Fungi.